This is an RNA transcript of Quercus robur (English oak), 1319 nucleotides long. It is a transcript of the gene named universal stress protein PHOS32-like, with no coding region annotated. The record is from RefSeq and is a predicted model, not a curated record. The transcript is spliced from 4 exons. NCBI's taxonomy places the organism in Eukaryota, Viridiplantae, Streptophyta, Magnoliopsida, Fagales, Fagaceae.
CAUUUCCAUAUCACAGUACUUCACUCCCAUAACAUUCGCAAAAAAACAAGGAAGCUACCUUUCUCACUACCCACUUCGAAGAACAAUACAAUACAACACUCUAGAAAGAAGUAGAAACCUCUCUCGUUCACCUUUUCCAAAUGCAUCACCAACACCAACAACAAGACUCCUCAUUAGAAUCCGACCCUCAGCUCCCAGCCAUCAGAAUCCACCACCCUGCUUCUCCACGCCACCAUUCCUCCGGCGUGGGGGCCACUCCCACCCCUACCGCCGGUGCCCGCCGCAAGAUCGGCGUCGCCGUCGAUCUCUCCGACGAGUCUGCUUACGCUGUACGCUGGGCCGUCCACCACUACCUCCGACCCGGUGACGCCGUCAUCCUCCUCCACGUCAGCCCCACCUCCGUCCUCUUCGGCGCCGACUGGGGCUCCAUCGACCUCUCCAUUUCCCCUUCCGACUUCGACCGCCACCCCGAUGAAGUAACCGCCACCGCCACCACCACCACCACGUCGUCUUCUUCCUCCAACAAUCAGAAGAAGUUGGAGGACGAUUUCGACGCCUUCACCGCUUCCAAAUCCGCCGAUCUGGCGAGGCCGCUCAAGGAGGCGCAGAUCCCCUACAAGAUCCACAUCGUGAAGGAUCACGACAUGAAGGAGAGGCUUUGCCUCGAGGUCGAGAGGCUCGGACUCAGUGCUGUCAUCAUGGGAAGCCGGGGAUUCGGCGCCGUUCGCCGCGGCAACGACGACGGCAGGCUCGGCAGCGUCAGCGAUUACUGCGUCCACCACUGCGUCUGUCCCGUCGUCGUCGUCCGCUAUCCCGAAGAUAAGGACGCCGUCGCCGAAGCUGUCCUCUCCGUCAAGGAAGGGGAGGAGGACGGUGAGGCUGUGAUCAAGACUGUCCCCAUUGAAGCUGUCCAUGAGAAAGACUUUUGCAUCAGGUAUGGAGGAGGAGUAGUCGCUGCGGGUAAUGGGGAUGGCUAAGUUUAAUUCAACUUCUUAUGCUUAGAAGGAACUUCAAGUCAUGGGGUGAUUUUCUCUACCGCAGCCUACUUUUGUGUUGCAGAUAGCAUGAAGGCAUCUGAUUCAACUGGCAUUAGUUGACACACUGAGAAGUUCGUGAAUGUUCUUGGUUGCUGAAACCUUUGCUACAAAGGCAGAUUGUAGAGUGGUUUCUCUGUCUGUACCUUUUGUCAAAAGAUUCUCGCAUGUAUGAACUUUGAGAAGAUUUGUGAAUGAUAUUUGUAUGGCUGUUGAAGUCUUUGUGGAUUUUUGUUAUGAACUUAUGCUUUAAGAAAAAAAAAAAUGUCACUGCAUUGUGAUGGA